This 287-nucleotide signal recognition particle RNA is filed under the name Seriola lalandi dorsalis. RNAcentral's name for it is "Metazoan signal recognition particle RNA (ENSSLDG00000018808.1)". It matches the Rfam family "Metazoan signal recognition particle RNA". From Rfam's summary of the family: The signal recognition particle (SRP) is a universally conserved ribonucleoprotein. The record is from RNAcentral. Lineage: Eukaryota; Metazoa; Chordata; Actinopteri; Carangiformes; Carangidae.
GCCGGGCGCGGUGGCGCGCGCCUGUAAUCCAAGUCACCGGGAGGCUGAGGCUGGCGGAGCGUUUGAGCUCAGGAGCUCUGAGCUGCAGUGGACUAUGCCGAUCGGGUGUCCGCGCUAAGUUCGGUAGCGAUAUGGUGCUCCUGGGGGAGCCCGGGACCACCAGGUCGUCUAAGGAGGGGUGCACCGGCCCAGGUCGGACACGGAGCAGGUCAAAUCCCCCGUGCCGCUCAGUAGCGGGAUCGCGCCCGUGAAUAGACGCUUGAGUGAUAUAGCGGGACCCAGUCUUU